Drosophila montana is the source of this 685-nucleotide long non-coding RNA. RefSeq lists it as uncharacterized. NCBI's taxonomy places the organism in Eukaryota, Metazoa, Arthropoda, Insecta, Diptera, Drosophilidae. The transcript is spliced from 3 exons. The record is from RefSeq and is a predicted model, not a curated record.
GUCAAUAUUUUAAAAGCCGCUUUUAUUCUUUAAAUAACUUGCAGAUACAUACAUACAUACAUUUUAUUUGAAUAUGUUGGCAACUGUUUACUGUAAAGAUAAAAAGCCAUAUGUGGAAAAUACACAAAAAAAUGCAAAGUAAAAUUAUUUUCAAUAUGGCGGAUAUUUAAUACCCUUACCAGACUAGCAGUCGCAGAUUUGAAUAUAUAAAGAUAUUUUUAACGAUCUGGCAGCACGAAUAUUUUAUACACCUGUCAACGGAGCGUGCAGUUUUACUUGAUUUUAAAGUCAACUCAAUAUUUGUAUUUUAUAUUUCAAAGUAUUAUGGGUUUUUAUAUUAGUUUUAAUUAGACUUGUAAAAUUAAUUAAGCAUAAAUUGAGGUACAUAAAAGAUAAAUAAUUAAAAUUAAAUUUUUUAUCUAUUGAGGAUAUUUUGUGAAAAUGAAAACCCAGGGGCUUGCUGCCUUGCUUGAAAUCGGGCAAUACAAUUUUCGGGUGUGUCCACUCACUUAAAACUGAUUUGCAUGUACAGUAAAAAUGCAAAUUGCCCCAUUUGCCGGCCACAGAAAAUGGCAACACAAUGUGAAGAAUGCAUUAUACUAAAACAGCCAGCUAUGCCCAUUCCUCUGUCCUCUUCUGUCCCAGCCCAGCUAGCAUGAAAGAGACUGAAAUGUUUUGUUAUAUU